UACGGGGGGGGCAAGCGUUGUUCGGAAUUACUGGGCGUAAAGGGCUCGUAGGCGGCCAACUAAGUCGAACGUGAAAUCCCCCGGCUCAACCGGGGAACUGCGUCCGAUACUGGAUGGCUUGAAUCCGGGAGAGGGAUGCGGAAUUCCAGGUGUAGCGGUGAAAUGCGUAGAUAUCUGGAGGAACACCGGUGGCGAAGGCGGCAUCCUGGACCGGCAUUGACGCUGAGGAGCGAAAGCCAGGGGAGCAAAC
This 250-nucleotide ribosomal RNA is filed under the name uncultured bacterium. RNAcentral's name for it is "partial 16S ribosomal RNA". It matches the Rfam family "Bacterial small subunit ribosomal RNA", at positions 524 to 773 of the family's 1533-position model. The record is from RNAcentral.